This 350-nucleotide ribosomal RNA is filed under the name uncultured Methanomicrobiales archaeon. Its description in RNAcentral is "bacterial SSU rRNA". It matches the Rfam family "Archaeal small subunit ribosomal RNA", at positions 991 to 1338 of the family's 1478-position model. The record is from RNAcentral. Lineage: Archaea; Methanobacteriati; Methanobacteriota; Methanomicrobia; Methanomicrobiales.
UGCAUGGCCGUCGUCAGUUCGUACUGUGAAGCAUCCUGUAAGUCAGGCAACGAGCGAGACCCACGCCAACAGUUGCCCAGCUCGUCCUCCCGGGGAUGGUGGGGACACUGUUGGGACCGCCUCUGCUAAAGAGGAGGAAGGAAUGGGGCAACGGUAGGUCAGCAUGCCCCGAAUUAUCUGGGCCACACGCGGGCUACAAUGGGUGGGACAAUGGGUAUCGACACCGAAAGGUGAAGGCAAUCUCCUAAACCCAUCCGUAGUUCGGAUUGUGGGCUGCAACUCGCCCACAUGAAGCUGGAAUCUGUAGUAAUCGUGUCUCAAAUGGCACGGUGAAUAUGUCCCUGCUCCUU